GCGUCGUGUGGCCAUGGAAGCGGCAGGGUGACCUAGCCGUGGAGGCCACACGAGUGAGAAUGCAGGCAUGAGUAGCGAAAGACGAGUGAGAAACUCGUCCGCCGAAUGACCAAGGGUUCCUGGGCCAGGUUAAUCCGCCCAGGGUGAGUCGGGACCUAAGACGAGGCCGACAGGCGUAGCCGAUGGACAACGGGUUGAUAUUCCCGUACCCGUGUGAACGCGCCCAUGGUGAAUCAGUGAUACUAACCAUCCUGAAGCCACGAGAAGACCUUCGGGUCUCGAGUUGGUGGAUGCAUGGGACCUGAUCUGGUAGUAGCCAAGCGAUGGGGUGACGCAGGAAGGUAGCUGAGCCAGUCAGUGGUAAUACUGGUGUAAGCGUGUAGGGCGUGACCUAGGCAAAUCCGGGUCGCAUACAAGCCUGAGACGUGAUGCGUAGCCGAUUGAGGCGAAUUCAGUGAUCCUAUGCUGCCGAGAAAAGCCUCUAGCGAGCUUUCACACGGCCCGUACCCCAAACCGACACAGGUGGUCAGGUAGAGAAUACUAAGGCGAUCGAGAUAACUAUGGUUAAGGAACUCGGCAAAAUGCCCCCGUAACUUCGGGAGAAGGGGGGCCCUGUCUGGUGACGACAUUUACUGUCUGAGCUGGGUGGGGCCGCAGAGACCAGUGAGAAGCGACUGUUUACUAAAAACACAGGUCCGUGCGAAGUCGUAAGACGAUGUAUACGGACUGACGCCUGCCCGGUGCUGGAAGGUUAAGAGGACCGGUUAGUUC
This 771-nucleotide ribosomal RNA is filed under the name Rhodococcus sp. EPR-134. Its description in RNAcentral is "bacterial LSU rRNA". It matches the Rfam family "Bacterial large subunit ribosomal RNA", at positions 1236 to 1896 of the family's 2925-position model. Lineage: Bacteria; Bacillati; Actinomycetota; Actinomycetes; Mycobacteriales; Nocardiaceae. The record is from RNAcentral.